CACAAGGUGUACUACCAGAGUUGCUAGGCGCGCCUAGGGGACAGCCCUAAGCCCCUCUCCCUCCAAGCCUCUACAGCCCCGAUCUUUCCAGCUCUGCAGCCAAACGUGUGGCUGUUUCCUGCUGCCUGCGGACCCGAGGCUGGGUGAGGGGGCCGGGGCCGCCACAUGGCGCGCUUGAGGAGAUGGCAGCUGCGCUUUGUUUCCAGCAGCUAGGGUGAGUCACCGGCCCCCGCAGUCCCAAAGCCAGGCAAACGCUCAGGCUCAGGCAGUUGAAAAAUUUGCAGCAGGAGCGGCUACCCAAGCGGCCGCAGCCUCUUCCUCCUCCUUCUUCUCCUCCGCCGCCGCUGCCACUGCCACCGCCGCGGCCGCCGCCUCCACCCUGCCUCCUCCCAGCCUCCGCCCCGUCCCCUCCUCCUCCGCCCUCGAACUUAGUCAGCGGUUCGCGCCUCCGCGCGCCUAUUGGCCGGCGGAACGCGACGCGUCACAAUGGAGCCGGUCGGAGGCGGCGAGCCCGGCAGCGCCGGGGCUUCCCGCUGAGUCCGCAGCCCCGGGCAGCCGGGAAAGUGCGGGCGCAGGCCGCCGCCGGCGCGCCUGGAGAGGCGCGGGGCGCGGGGCGCACGCUGCGGAGAGCGCCGGCGCCCGGGGCUGGAGUCGCGCAGACUCUGCCAGUGAUUCUCCAGGGAGUUUCCAGAAGCAUUCAGUCUUGGACUGGGCAUGGAAAUGUUGAUUGUCCUUGGGACCCACCCUCACUACCCACUUUUGCCUCCUGGCCUAUAACUGGAUCCACAUCUAAGAAGAACCCUAGAGGAAUUCCUCAAAUUGAAACUAAUUGCAGAGUUUCUGGUUGACCAGCAUUCAUAGGAAAAUGAACCCUGUUUUCAGUGGGGUCUUCCUGGAUUAAAUAGGACAUAUAAUUCUGCUCUUGGGACAGGUAGGUCACCUGUGGAAGUCUGAAGAGAAGAAAUGGAAUGCUAUGGUGUGGUUUACCAGAGACUGCAGGGUGUCUAGGUUUGGCCCUACUUUAUUUUAGGGCCUGCUUACUUGAGUGGGGUGUUGGAAAGUAUUUUUAAAAACCAUGAAAGUUGGAGAAUUUGAUGUUGGCUUCUGUUUAUACAUUCUAAGAAUAUUUACUUAUUUUAGUUGUCAAUGGACCUUUAUUUUACUUAUUUAUGUGUGGUGCUGAGAAUCUCGAACCCUGUGCCUCACACAUGUUAGGCAAGCACUCUACCACUGAGCCACAACUCCAGCCUCAAUACCUUCUAAGAAUUAUCCAGCUACUGGAAGCUAUGUUCUGGUAUAAAUAUUUCAAUAUGUAACUGUUACUUUCUUCAUUUUAAAUGUAACUUAGAUAAUAAUGUAGGCCACUGAAAGCAUCAAAGAACUGAGGUCUUUUCCUAAAAAGAAAAUUUUCACCUAAAUUGGAUAUAUGAUGUAUUCUGUUAUCACCAGAAACCAAGAAAAGUGAAAUGGCGUUCCUUAAAGUUCAGAAGAACUCAGAUUCCACUAGGAUUUCUAGAGUUGUUCCUAUGGUCUUAAUUCAUUCUGUAACAUAACUUAUUUAUUUUUUUUCUGCAGUUUAUUAUCAAUAACUUUCUCCUGGGGCUUCAGAGAGUUUCAUACUCUUUAGAAUAUUGGGUAUGGUUGUUUCACAGACCCAUUACUACUUUACAGUUUGGGGUAGGAAAUUGCUAAAUAGUAGUGACACAUUUCUAUUUUUUUGCCUUCCCUCUAUAAUUUGACUAUAAUGUCAGUUUCUUUCCAUAAAACUCAGAUUUGUGUGCCCCAGAUAUAUUUGCUUUUCCUUUACCUCACUAAUUCUGCUUCUCUAUCCUUUUUACUCUUCUUCAUCUGAUGAUCCUUCCUCAUAUGGACAGAGAUUUGGUUUUCACUCAUUAAAUUAUUUUCCUCAAAGACUCCUUUACUGAGGAUCCAUUGGCUACUUAAAUGUUUAUGGCAUCCUAUGAUGAAUUAAAAGUGAUUGUAAACACUUAGCAACUCCUCCCAUCUGUUUCCCUGCCUUUGACUCUCUACUGGCUCUGUUAUAUUUUUGGAUCAACAGGAUGUGGCAGAAAUGGGGGUGUAGUAAUUUCUAAGACUGGGCCUUAAGAGACUUGCAAAUUCUGAAUUUGUAUGCAUAGAACAUUCCCUCUCAAAACAUCCCCUUUGCUGUGAGGAAGCCUAAAGAAUCAAUGUGGAGACUGCCAAGGGCCCAGUCAAUAGCACAAGUUGAGCCCCGCAACAAGCAGGCAGCCCAGGUACCAGUGUGGCAUAGAGGCAUGUUGGACCUUCUAGCCACCCCAGCAUCCCAAUGAAUACCAAGCGAAAUGAGACUGCCUCAUCAUCCUACAGUAUUAUCAGAUACAGCGAAUCAUUAUUUUAAUCACUAAGUUUUGGUAUGGCUUGUUACACAAAAUAAAUAAGCAAAACCAAAAAUUGGUACCUAGAAGUGAGGUACUACCAUAACAAAACAUCUGGCAUUGGCUUUGGGAAAAGGAAGCGGUGGAGGUCUGAAGGGGGUAGUAAAAUUAGUAUUAAUGGUGUAUAAAGGUCAGUGAGGAAAUUGUUAUUGGAGGAUAUAAAAUAGCACUCAUAUGUUUUAUUGGCAGAAAAAUAGGCUAAACCAUCACCUGCAAAUCACAUAGAACACAGAAAAUGAACCUAACAACCUUGUGGAUCUAGGGUAGGAGAUUUUUUCAGCAGAAUAUUGAAAGCACCAACUAAUAACUUCAUUUUUUUAACCACCUAUGAUCAAAGUUUUACAAGAAAGAGAUGCAUUAAAGAACAAACUGUCCAGAUUGUAAGCAGACUUUAGAGGAAAUAUUUCCAAUCCAGAAUUGUCUAGGUAUGGAAAUAAAACUGUUUCUUAUUCCUAGCAACCUUCUCUACUCAACAAAAGAUAGUCAAAGAAGGAAAAUGGUCUCAGGUCCAAAGAUCAGAUCCAGAGCACUAUUACCAGCAAAACUUGGUCUCAAGGUGAAAAUAAAAGCAAGGGCACAGCUAUAAAACCCUAAAUGAUAACCUCCUAGAUAUCUCUGCUGCAUGGAGCGCCUUCUGAAAAUCUUAAGGAUGCUGCCCUGAUUUAUAAGACACAAGCCUGGCCUUUAAGCCUGAAUUUGAUGUGAUGGUGUGUGAAUGUUGGGGGAGAGGGCUAGUGUGCUUUCUGUGGAGAAGAUAUGUAAGUUAUUUAGGGAAGAUUUAUGGAAUUAUUUAUGGACAGUAGUGUAUUAAACACAGCUGCAGAUUCUUCAUCAUCUCACUCUGAGAGGUGUUCUCUGCGUCCCAUUCCCUUGAAUAUGAGCUGUCCUUAUAUCUCCCUUAUCCAAUAGAUUUUCUUGGACACAGCACUGUGUAACUUCAAAUGCUAUGCCCUAAAUGGUCCACAGCUUUAAUUUUUGUUCUUAUAACACAGUCUUAGAACCCAGCCACCAUGUUCAUUGAGGACACUCAAAGCACCCCACUGACUCUCAUAUGAAGAAGUUAUGAGCCAGCAGUAUAAUGAACAAAUGAGGUCAUUUUGGACCUUCCAGCCGUCUUCGUGCUGGCCAACACCAUGAAGUACAAGAAUCCCCAACAAAAUCUCAAGAAAUAAAACCUUAAUGUUUUUUAAAGCCAUUAAAUUGCGGAAUAUGCUGAACAGUUAAUCAAAAGU
This is a non-coding RNA of Ictidomys tridecemlineatus (thirteen-lined ground squirrel), 3649 nucleotides long. NCBI's taxonomy places the organism in Eukaryota, Metazoa, Chordata, Mammalia, Rodentia, Sciuridae. The record is from RefSeq and is a predicted model, not a curated record.